Long non-coding RNA from Panthera uncia (snow leopard), 1035 nucleotides. RefSeq lists it as uncharacterized. NCBI's taxonomy places the organism in Eukaryota, Metazoa, Chordata, Mammalia, Carnivora, Felidae. The record is from RefSeq and is a predicted model, not a curated record. The transcript is spliced from 3 exons.
GUUAAAACUUGAUUUUACAUUUACAAAAAUUUGGUUGCAAAUCUUUCUAAAAGGUUAUACUGAUGCUCAUUGUUCUAUUCUUUUAACUCCUCCAGUAUUCUUUUCUUUUUUUUUUUUUAAGAUACAAUAGGCAGCUGUGACUCCUUAGAUAGAAAUACUUACUUUCUAGAGGCUGAAGCCCAAGAUCAAGGUGCCAGCAGGGUCGGUUUGCUGGUGAGACCUCCCUUCCUGGCUUGUAGAUGGCCACCUCCUCUCUGUGCCCUCACACGGCCUCUCCUCUGUGUGUGCACCGUCCUAGUGUCUCCUCCUCUUCUUACAAGGACACGAGCCCCAUCGGAUUGUGGCCCCACCCUUAUGGCCUCAUUGAACCUUAAUUAUCUCCUAAAAGCCCCGUCUCAAACACAGUCUUAGAGACUUCAGGUUCCUUCCAGCCACCGAGUUUCUAUGACAAGCACCGUUUUAAGCACAAGGGUUACAAUCCUAAGCAAACGGAGGCGGCCGGCUAUCAUCCAUCAAGCCCAUGUACACAUGAGGGAGACAGAACAUGGAAAGUAAACAAAUAAAUAAGAUGUCAGAUGGUAUUACAUGCUUUGCAAGACACAACAGUGAGUGUGACUGGGCAGAGCGGGAGCUACUUUAGGAAGCAUUCUGGAGUAUGUGUGAGAGAGCCAGGUGAUGAGAAAGAGAGCCGGGCCAGAGAGAAGAGCAUGCUGGGGGGAGGGAACUGCUGUGCAAAGGCCCUGAGGUAGGAGUGACUGUGGAUGUGCGGUGACUGGCAAGGUGACACGUGGCCUGCACAGAGUGGGGAAGGGGACGCAGGCAGGAAGGGGUGGGUCAGCACCUUGCUGGGGGCGCCCCUGCCUUGGGGGCUCCUCCUCUGUCCUUCCUCUCUCCCUUUACGCCCUCUUUUGGGGUUUCUUUGCGCCUCUCCCAUCUCUAUGGUCUCCCCAUCUCUCCCUGCACCUCUCCAUGACUGUCUUCCUCUGUCUGCGUCUGUCCACCUCCUCUGGGUCUCUCAGAGGCGCAUAUGAACAC